Molecule: long non-coding RNA, 1099 nt
Organism: Scylla paramamosain (green mud crab)
Lineage: Eukaryota; Metazoa; Arthropoda; Malacostraca; Decapoda; Portunidae
Exons: 2
Source: RefSeq, a predicted model, not a curated record
CAAAUCUUUCAAUAUAAGAAGUCAAUCAUCAUAUAUUUCAUUACUGUACAUAUGUAAAUUAUAUCGCCCCAUAUUCUUCCAGCACCUCCCCUCUCUGCCUGUGCCAUUGUCUUGUCACAGAUCAAGUGAAAGGAUUAAACAAAAAUAUAUUCUUAUCAUCAAGUUUAUUUCCAAUAAGGCAAAAACACAACUUGCACAUGUUUUCAUAUAAUAAUUACAAGCUUCUGUUUCCAGGUUAAUAAAGGCAGCCUCAGAGCUUUCUGCAAAUUAGACACCUGAUUGGGCAGUGAUGGAGAGAAGAAAGCUGCUGCAAGAUUGCUGGAAGUACAUGUGGAGGAGGGGAAUGAUGGGAGGCGACUGAUUGGUGGGGUCAAGUCAGGAAAUUAACGAACAUCCUGGCUGGACACUUCCUGCAAAUCCUUGUCCCAGCCCAGCCAACAAGGCACAAACUUCAUCCUCCCUUGCAAGCACCUGAAGACGAUGGACCAGAAGUCAAGAUGUUGAGGCCUUCAAGAGAGAUGCUACAGCAGAAACAGGGCAUCUUCAACAGUAGUAGUCCACACUGCAACCAUCAAGCAUGUAGGGGAUAAUAACAACUCCCCCUUGCCCCCCUUUCUCUCUCUCUCUCUCUCUCUCUCUCUCUCUCUCCACAGACCCCCACAGAAUGUCCCCCCACAGUAUGUUUAAGAACCACAGUCACUCAACACACCCCCUCACAUUCUCUCUCUCUCUCUCUCUCUCUCUCUCUGCGCACAGACCCCCAUGGGAUGUCCCCCCACACUAUGUUUACGAACCACAGUCACUCAGCUCCCCCUCACGUUGAUAAUUUUCCUUCACAGCAUUCAAUCACAGCCAAUAUUGACGACAACCACCCCCUUCCUUUCCAGAUCUUGCAGCAGAUGCGUUAUGUUGUUCCUUUCCUUUAUCGCUGCCACCCCCCAAAUUGGGCAUCCAACUUGCAGGAAGCUCUGAGGCUGCCUUUGACAACCUGAAAACAGAACCUUGCAAUUAAUACAUGAAAAUAUGUGAACAAAAUAUGUGAACUGGAGUCUGUGCAAAUUUUGUUUUUACCUUACUAGAAAUAAACUGUAUGAUAAGA